Molecule: transfer RNA, 64 nt
Filed under: Varanus pilbarensis
Lineage: Eukaryota; Metazoa; Chordata; Lepidosauria; Squamata; Varanidae
Description: tRNA-Tyr
Rfam family: tRNA
About the family: Transfer RNA (tRNA) molecules are approximately 80 nucleotides in length. Their secondary structure includes four short double-helical elements and three loops (D, anti-codon, and T loops).
Source: RNAcentral
GGUAAGGUGGCUGAGUAGGCGGUAGACUGUAAAUCUACCCACGAGAGGAGACUCUCCCUUAUCA